RNAcentral lists this transfer RNA (65 nucleotides) under Xanthostigma gobicola. RNAcentral describes it as "tRNA-Glu". Lineage: Eukaryota; Metazoa; Arthropoda; Insecta; Raphidioptera; Raphidiidae. The record is from RNAcentral.
AUUUUUAUAGUUUAAAUAAAACAUUACAUUUUCUAAUGUAAAAAUAUAAGUAAUUAUUAUAAAUA